CCGGUCGCCAGACCUAGGUCCAAGUCCCGCCCUCCUUGCGCCCCAGUCUUCCGCAGGCGCACCUCUGCCCCCUCAGCACGCGCCACCUCCUGCGGCCUCUUCGGCGCCAGCUGCCGGGUGGUGCCGGAGGGCGCCGGGGUCCUGCGGUGCUGCCAGCCCCGCCUCGUCCGCCCCCCGCUGCCGCCUAGGGCGAGAGGUAGCCAGCCUGAGCCUGCAGCGCUCAGACACCAAACCCGUCCUUAUCCCCAGGGACCCGUGCGCGGUGUACUGCAGGGAAUCCCACUGUUGGGCGGGUUGCGAAGGUGGAUUAACGGGGGCAUUUCUAGUUUACAGCGUGACUCGCGCGGAGGAAAUGCGGUGCGGAGACCCCUUGGUGACUGGGUGCCUGUAUCUUUCUUAAAAGGACAGAAACUCCGUUUCAGCACUGGUGUGUCAGAUAUUCGGAGGAGUCUUUAUGCUAAUGGGGAUAUUAGCAAUCCAGACGACGGAUGUGGCCAGGAUAGGUGGCUGGUGCCCUGCCCUACACCAAUCCAAGUGCCAGGCUAAGGAGAGCCCAUCAAAUGUUAACGUCAGUCCCCUGCUGCGUGCCAGACCCCAGGGCAGGAGCCUGGGUCAGAAGAAUUGCUUUGGAAGUCAUCAGUGCUCAGUGAGGGUCUGAAGCAAAACCAUCGGUCAUCGCUGACACCUUCUUUCAUUCCUACUCCAUCCUUCCCAUCAGCAAGGAAUACGCAGAGUCCUACCACCUCCCACACCUCAGCUGUGUCCACCUGUCCUUUGUCUGUUGCCUGGAUCGUGGAAGGUGUCUCUUACCCAUUUCCCUGCUUCUGUCUCAGUUGCCGGUGAUCCUGUUAAAAAGAAUCUAUUUAUGGCUCUCUGCUUGAACCCCCCCUUCAAGUCCCCAUUUCCCUAAUAGCACAUGUCCACAUCCUCACGGUGGCUCAUCAGGCCUUACGUGCUCUAGUCCCCUUAAAUUCCUGGCCCCAUUGUCUCCUGUCUUCUCCCCUGCUCUAGCCAGGCCGUCUCUUCCUGUUCCCUGCACACUGUGGCAGUCUGGGGCCUUUGCACGACGUCUCCUCGCCUGGAAUGCUUCCCCGCAGCUGUCUCCGUGACUCACCCUUCAGUCCCUUCAGGUCUUAUUUCGUUCGGCGUCCCUGCUCGGAGAGGCCUCGCCUGGGCAACAAACCCAGAAGUGUUGUCCCCACUCAACAAUUAGUCUCCCUCAGCCCAUUUCACACACAACCUAUUUUACUUACUUUCCCUGUGUAUUCUUUGUCUUGCCCCUCGAUAGGAAAGGGAUCUUUCCUCUUUGUUGACUGCCCAAGUCCAGCGUCCAGAACAGUGGCGGACCCCUAGGGAGUGACCGUGAGUGUGAGUGGCUGGAUCACGAAGGGCAGGAGGGCAGAAGGCUGGAGCUUGACCUUUCUGUCCACCUCAGAACCGGUGCUAGUGGCAGUUCACUGUGGUCUGGAGGUGGGAGCGUGUCAGACUUGCUGUGUUCCCAGACGGUGUCCCAAACAGAGAAGGCAGAGUGAGAUUGUUCCCCAUCUUCCCGGCAUCCAGAGAGGGUCCCAGGAGGGCUGUGGCAUCCAGGUAGCCUCUUCCCCACAAGUCCCAGUCACCCUGGCCUGCAGGCUGUCCCUGGUGUCUCGGAGACAGCUGUUGUUCUCCUCGACUCAGGUACAGCUAAUCUUCGGAAUCUCAGUGCUGGCCGGAAGAUAAUCCCCUGUAUCUAGAUUAAAGGCUGUGUUUUGACCAUUACAGCGCAUCCAGCAUCCAGCCGACAGUUUAAUUGAGCUGUUUAUGCCGCUGCCUUGAUCUCUUCCCAGAGAAUUUACAACUAAUUCCGAGUGUCUCUGUGAAUUAAGUGGGCCUCUCCCAACAUGCUUUGCCUGUCGUGUGCCUGUGCCAAAUCCCACUUGUCCUUGUGUUACCCAAUUAUAGCCUCUCUCUCGCAGUCGUCUCUGGCUGAUACCACUUCCAGCCCGCUUCCUCCCUGAGGUGGCCCUAAGGAUCCGGCCCCGAGAAUGGCCAUCCCCCAGGACAGCCUCCGUGAUGCCUGCGGCAGCAGAAAGGUGAGUCCAAUGUGGAGCCAAGCUUGAAAACCACUGGCCUGGAGCAGCAGCUCUUAAAAGUGAGAUCCCUAGGACAGAGCAUCAACUUCCCCGGAAAAUCAAAUUGUUCUUUUCAUUUUCAGUCCUUCGGAACCAGAAACUGGGGGCUGCAGCUCAGCCAGCCCUGCAGGUGAUUCUGCUGUAGCUCAAGUCCAAGAGAGCCAGUCUGAAAGUCCCUUUGAUGACAACAGGGCUCUGUCCUUUGGGGCCUGAUCUGCAAACUGGUGCUAGGAAAGCAAAUUAGCUGAAUUGCUUUGCAGUGAUGCAUCUUAAUGGCCAAACUGCCUGUCCUCUGGCGGUGGCAGUGUAAAUUAUGGAGGCGGCAAAUGCUGAGUACAGUGGCUUUUUCAGUCCCCCACACAUCAAUCCGACGUUUGAAGCAGUCUUGAAGGCCACGAUGGGCACCUGGAGCUUAUUGGCCAUAGAACAAGUUAGGCCAGAAAAGCCGGACACGGAGCACAGGGGUCUGAGGGCAUCAAGUUCCCUCAGGUCAGGCAUCCCGAGGAGGGAAGGGCCCAGCAGAAGGGGCUUGACGCCUGUGGGCAAGGAGGAAAUGGAAAGUGUGGCAGAAAGGAAACAGGGUCAGGGGGGCAGUAGGUUAGCCCAGGUCCUGGGGCUCGGGCAGUGAGAAUCAGGGGUGUCUCCAGGGCUGGCUAGGUGAAGGGAAUCAGCCACUGCUCCCGUGGGGAGCCAGGCCCAGGGCAGGCUCUACAGACUGGAGGGGGCGGGUGUCAGAGGCAGAGAAGGAAGGCUGUGCUUGUUUAGUUUUGCUUUGUUUUGUAUGGAAAAGCAAGUGGAGGUCAAGAGCAGAGCUGCGUCUCUCUGCAGCCGAGGAGGGUUGCAGUACUGGCCCACAAGCACUGUCAGGUUUUCUUCUGUGGGCGUCUCACAGUCACAGGUUGGCUGGCUUCUGUGUCUGGGACGUGAGACUCUUCUGUCCUUGAGAGACGUCUGGAGGGCAGGCGGUAGGGGCUGUGCGUUAUUCACUUCUGUCCACGUCCGGGAUUCACUCAGUUCCUGCCAAAUGCUGGGCCCUGAGUGACAGACUGUGUGUGGACUUGAAUCCAGGACAGAUAUGACAGAUCAUGGCUCCUAAAUAUGACUUACCGCCUCAGGCCUUAACGAACCACCGCAGCGAGAGCCCAGAGACGUUCCCCAUGCAGAAGGGCCCCUCUCACCCUGUAGAAUCAUUGCAGACUCUUUCUUUGCUGCCUCCCUUCCCUCUUCCUUACACCAAGCCCUUCUCCCAUCAGCCUGGCCCAGCUCCCUCCUGGGGGCUGUGCACACUGUAGGGAAUGAUCAGAAAAGAAGGGAUUAAGGCAGCAAACAUCAACACCCAGGAGAUUCCCCUUAUCUGAGUUCCACUGUGAAUGACUGUGUGCUGGUGUGUACAACCACGAAUCCGAAGAGUUUAAUCCCGGUUCAUCUCUGAAAAGGUGAAGUAUUGCUUUAAGGCCAACAGUUGGGAAAAUGAUUUGUUUCUUCAAUGUUAAACCACACACACACACACACACACACACACUCACAUACAUACAAAUGCUCUUCUGAUGAUGCAAUUUCCAUCCCUCCACUUUGGCUGUAAUAUUUAAAGACAAGUUUUAAAAGUCACUUUCCGUGCAUAAUUUUCUUCUGAUGCACUACUUUGUCUCUUUCUUGUUCUUGAAUUAAAAUGGUUACCGUGCUUCCAUUGGAGGCUUUUCUAAGUGGGAAGCACUGGCCGAAGCCAGAGCCAGGGAAGAGUUAACAUUGCAA
Phyllostomus discolor (pale spear-nosed bat) is the source of this 3863-nucleotide long non-coding RNA. RefSeq lists it as uncharacterized. The transcript has 3 exons. The record is from RefSeq and is a predicted model, not a curated record. NCBI's taxonomy places the organism in Eukaryota, Metazoa, Chordata, Mammalia, Chiroptera, Phyllostomidae.